Molecule: non-coding RNA, 77 nt
Organism: Potamilus streckersoni
Lineage: Eukaryota; Metazoa; Mollusca; Bivalvia; Unionida; Unionidae
Source: the annotation of a GenBank genome assembly
AACUGCUCCGGUGGCCUAGUGGUUAGAGCGUCUGCCUCGGAUGUGGGAGGUAGUGGGUUCAAUCCUCGGUCGAGUUA